RNAcentral lists this ribosomal RNA (253 nucleotides) under uncultured bacterium. Its description in RNAcentral is "partial 16S ribosomal RNA". It matches the Rfam family "Bacterial small subunit ribosomal RNA", at positions 524 to 776 of the family's 1533-position model. The record is from RNAcentral.
UACAGAGGUGACUAACGUUGUCCGGAAUUACUGGGCGUAAAGGGUUCGUAGGUGGCCACUUAAGUCAGACGUGAAAUCCCUCAGCUUAACUGGGGAACUGCGUCUGAUACUGGGUGGCUUGAGUGCAGGAGAGGAAUGCGGAAUUCCAGGUGUAGCGGUGAAAUGCGUAGAUAUCUGGAGGAACACCGGUGGCGAAGGCGGCAUUCUGGACUGUAACUGACACUGAGGAACGAAAGCCAGGGGAGCAAACGGG